This 799-nucleotide ribosomal RNA is filed under the name uncultured bacterium. Its description in RNAcentral is "bacterial SSU rRNA". It matches the Rfam family "Bacterial small subunit ribosomal RNA", at positions 8 to 803 of the family's 1533-position model. The record is from RNAcentral.
AGAGUUUGAUCAUGGCUCAGAUUGAACGCUGGCGGCAGGCCUAACACAUGCAAGUCGAACGGUAGAGAGAAGCUUGCUUCUCUUGAGAGCGGCGGACGGGUGAGUAAUACCUAGGAAUCUGCCUGAUAGUGGGGGAUAACGUUCGGAAACGGACGCUAAUACCGCAUACGUCCUACGGGAGAAAGCAGGGGACCUUCGGGCCUUGCGCUAUCAGAUGAGCCUAGGUCGGAUUAGCUAGUUGGUGAGGUAAUGGCUCACCAAGGCUACGAUCCGUAACUGGUCUGAGAGGAUGAUCAGUCACACUGGAACUGAGACACGGUCCAGACUCCUACGGGAGGCAGCAGUGGGGAAUAUUGGACAAUGGGCGAAAGCCUGAUCCAGCCAUGCCGCGUGUGUGAAGAAGGUCUUCGGAUUGUAAAGCACUUUAAGUUGGGAGGAAGGGCAUUAACCUAAUACGUUAGUGUUUUGACGUUACCGACAGAAUAAGCACCGGCUAACUCUGUGCCAGCAGCCGCGGUAAUACAGAGGGUGCAAGCGUUAAUCGGAAUUACUGGGCGUAAAGCGCGCGUAGGUGGUUUGUUAAGUUGAAUGUGAAAUCCCCGGGCUCAACCUGGGAACUGCAUCCAAAACUGGCAAGCUAGAGUAUGGUAGAGGGUAGUGGAAUUUCCUGUGUAGCGGUGAAAUGCGUAGAUAUAGGAAGGAACACCAGUGGCGAACGCGACUACCUGGACUGAUACUGACACUGAUGUGCGAAAGCGUGGGGAGCAACAUGAUUAGAUACCCUGGUAGUCCACGCCGU